GAUGAACGCUGGCGGCGUGCUUAACACAUGCAAGUCGAACGAUGAACCGGGUGCUUGCACUCGGGGAUUAGUGGCGAACGGGUGAGUAACACGUGAGCAACCUGCCCCUGACUCUGGGAUAAGCGCUGGAAACGGCGUCUAAUACUGGAUAUGUCCCGUCACCGCAUGGUGUGCGGGUGGAAAGAUUUUUCGGUUGGGGAUGGGCUCGCGGCCUAUCAGCUUGUUGGUGAGGUAAUGGCUCACCAAGUCGUCGACGGGUAGCCGGCCUGAGAGGGUGACCGGCCAAACUGGGACUGAGACACGGCCCAGACGCCUACGGGAGGCAGCAGUGGGGAAUAUUGCACGAUGGGCGGAAGCCUGAUGCAGCAACGCCGAGUGAGGGAUGACGGCCUUCGGGUUGUAAACCUCUUUUAGCAGGGAAGAAGCGAGAGUGACGGUACCUGCAGAAAAAGCACCGGCUAACUACGUGCCAGCCGCCGCGGUAA
RNAcentral lists this ribosomal RNA (485 nucleotides) under uncultured bacterium. Its description in RNAcentral is "partial 16S ribosomal RNA". It matches the Rfam family "Bacterial small subunit ribosomal RNA", at positions 28 to 523 of the family's 1533-position model. The record is from RNAcentral.